UUAUAACAUUUUCCUCGGCAGUUAACUGCAGCCGUAUUUCUAAAAUUUAUGCAGUUAACUGCCGAGGGGCAU
RNAcentral lists this microRNA precursor (72 nucleotides) under Medicago truncatula (barrel medic). RNAcentral's name for it is "MIR2629 microRNA precursor family". It matches the Rfam family "MIR2629 microRNA precursor family". Lineage: Eukaryota; Viridiplantae; Streptophyta; Magnoliopsida; Fabales; Fabaceae. The record is from Rfam by way of RNAcentral.